UCGGCCAGGCUCUAGGCGCCAUGGCUCCCCGCAGUAGGAAGCGGAAGGCUGAGGCCGCGAUAGUUGCCGCAGCCCAGAAGCGAGAAAAGCUGGCGAACAGCGGGGAGGGAAUGGAGGAGGCAACUGCUGUUAUGGAGCAUUGCUCGAGCUGACGCGUCUAUGGGCGCAACGCCACGGCCCUGAGUCAGGCGCUGCGCCUGGAGGCGCCAGAGUUUCCAGUAAAGGUGAACCCGACCAAGCCCUGGAGGGGCAGCUUCGAGGUGACGCUGCUGCGCCUGGACGGCAGCAGUGCGGAGCUCUGGACUGGGAUUAAGAAGGGGCCCCCACGCAAACUCAAAUUCCCUGAGCCUCAAGAGGUGGUGGAAGAGUUGAAGAAGUACCUGUCCUAGGGAGAUUUGGGUAGAAGUCCUCAUGCUGAGCUUUGUGUCCCUGGUGAUGUUGGAACAUUAAUGAUAGAACAUGGCCAAACUUCAGUCGUGUGCCUGAAGCCGUGGUUUCUUCCCCGCCAGAAAUGAAGGUUCAGUUGUGAGGCAACCCUCUAGUAAGGCAUUGCAAAAGUUACUGGAUUUGGUUUAAUAAAAGUUGAAAUAAAAAA
Piliocolobus tephrosceles (Ugandan red Colobus) is the source of this 595-nucleotide RNA transcript. It is a transcript of the gene named selenoprotein H pseudogene, with no coding region annotated. The record is from RefSeq and is a predicted model, not a curated record. The transcript has a single exon. NCBI's taxonomy places the organism in Eukaryota, Metazoa, Chordata, Mammalia, Primates, Cercopithecidae.